UAAGACGAAGGGGGCUAGCGUUGUUCGGAAUUACUGGGCGUAAAGCGAGUGUAGGUGGUUGUCGUAGUCAGGCGUGAAAGCCUUGAGCUCAACUCAAGAAAUGCGCUUGAUACUGGGCAGCUAGAGGACCGGAGAGGAUAGUGGAAUUCCCAGUGUAGUGGUGAAAUACGUAGAGAUUGGGAAGAACACCAGUGGCGAAGGCGGCUAUCUGGACGGUUUCUGACACUAAGACUCGAAAGCGUGGGGAGCAAACAGGAUUAGAUACCCUGGUAGUCCACGCCGUAAACGAUGGGUGCUAGACGUUGGCGAGCUUGCUCGUCAGUGUCGCAGCUAACGCGUUAAGCACCCCGCCUGGGGAGUACGGCCGCAAGGUUG
This 375-nucleotide ribosomal RNA is filed under the name uncultured bacterium. Its description in RNAcentral is "bacterial SSU rRNA". It matches the Rfam family "Bacterial small subunit ribosomal RNA", at positions 521 to 896 of the family's 1533-position model. The record is from RNAcentral.